This 253-nucleotide ribosomal RNA is filed under the name uncultured bacterium. Its description in RNAcentral is "partial 16S ribosomal RNA". It matches the Rfam family "Bacterial small subunit ribosomal RNA", at positions 524 to 776 of the family's 1533-position model. The record is from RNAcentral.
GACGAACCGAGCGAACGUUGUUCGGAAUCACUGGGCUUAAAGGGCGCGUAGGCGGGCUGCCAAGUCUGGGGUGAAAUCCCGCGGCUCAACCGUGGAACUGCCUCAGAUACUGGCGGCCUCGAGGGAGGUAGGGGCGAGCGGAACUAAUGGUGGAGCGGUGAAAUGCGUUGAUAUCAUUAGGAACUCCGGUGGCGAAGGCGGCUCGCUGGACCUUUUCUGACGCUGAGGCGCGAAAGCUAGGGGAGCAAACGGG